AGUCUACAUGUGUGGCGAUGUGU
Molecule: non-coding RNA, 23 nt
Filed under: Arabidopsis thaliana (thale cress)
Lineage: Eukaryota; Viridiplantae; Streptophyta; Magnoliopsida; Brassicales; Brassicaceae
Source: RNAcentral